RNAcentral lists this ribosomal RNA (481 nucleotides) under uncultured bacterium. RNAcentral describes it as "SSU rRNA". It matches the Rfam family "Bacterial small subunit ribosomal RNA", at positions 26 to 521 of the family's 1533-position model. The record is from RNAcentral.
AGGACGAACGCUGGCGGCGUGCUUAACACAUGCAAGUCGAACGGAAAGGCCCGCUUGCGGGUACUCGAGUGGCGAACGGGUGAGUAACACGUGGGCAACCUGCCCUCAGCUCUGGGAUAACUCCGGGAAACCGGUGCUAAUACUGGAUAUCGACUUCUGCUCGCAUGGGUGGUUGUUGAAAGUUUUCGGCUGGGGAUGGGCCCGCGGCCUAUCAGCUUGUUGGUGGGGUAAUGGCCUACCAAGGCGACGACGGGUAGCCGGCCUGAGAGGGCGACCGGCCAACGACUGGGACUGAGACACGGCCCAGACUCCUACGGGAGGCAGCAGUGGGGAAUAUUGCGCAAUGGGCGGAAGCCUGACGCAGCGACGCCGCGUGAGGGAUGACGGCCUUCGGGUUGUAAACCUCUUUCAGCUCUGACGAAGCGAGAGUGACGGUAGGAGCAGAAGAAGCACCGGCCAACUACGUGCCAGCAGCCGCGGU